CGAUCCAUUAUAGCUGAUGUGCGAUGCCUUCGUCUUUGCUGUGACUGUGAGGGCUUCAGAGCGCUCUGCUCGGCCGAGGAGUCAAGAGGCGUGGAGCGAUAUCAUCGGUUUGGACUUCUGUUUGAGACGAGAUGGGAUUGUGCCACUGAACGGGGUCACAUUUUCAAGUGGAUUUUGGAGUUGAACUUGAAUUACGUUUUUUGGAGUUAACCACUUGAAUGAAGUCUUUUUUUUAUGUCAGGAUAUUUUUGGGAUCCAAUAUAGCCUAUGCACCCGCUGACCAGUGAUAACACUGUUACAGAGACACACGUGAGACUUGACAUGGAGUUGUAUCUUGUGAAAACACGAAAACGUCUUAAACGUGUCCUGUCUGGAGAAAUCAGUUGUUCUUGUUGCUCUCAUGGAGCGGACCGGUACACUUCAUGGUUUUGCGCAGGGCACGCUACAGUGAAGCCGGAGCCUUGCUCUGCGGGUUGUCUGGACGAUGGCUGGGACCCUAUGGUCAGCAUGCCUUUGGGAAUAGACCGCGCUGUCACACAUACACACACACACACACACACACACACCACUCAAACACACACACACACACACACACUCACACACGGAGGAGUGAUAAUAUGAAUCUUUCCUGCGGAAAAGCACCUCUUUGGAGUACCGGUGACCUGUCUGAUGGAUUAUUGUGACAUUGGAACUUACCAAAGAAUCAACUUGUGUGGAUGAAUGGAGACAGAAGACAGGAACCCUGCAGAGAUGAUCCCUAGGACCUCCCUGACUGUGUCCGGCACCUGGAGAGUGUGUGUGUGUGUGUGUGUGUGUGUGUGUGUGUGUGUGUGUGUGUGUGUGUGUGUGUGUGUGUGUGUGUGACGGAUGGCUCACUCCUGUGAGUCAUAACUUUAGGCUAGUGAAGCGUCCCCCAUGCUGGAAGCGUGUGUGGAGCGCACAGCGGCGUCUACCUUGUGUGACCCCUCGCUGGGUUUCAUUCAUGCUGUGCCUACAAGAGGAUGCUUGAUUUCCUAAGCCGCUUCUCCUGGGAAAUGGACUGUGGAUAAUUUCUAACAAGAAUGUUUUUUUUUUUUUUUUUGGGGGGGGGGAAACAGAACAGGAUCUUCUCUGGAAUGUUUUUUUGGAUCAUUUAAGACAUUUUUGGGGACAUUCAAACUUUCGCGGCCUGUGGAUGCAGCAGCUUUGAUGUGCAUGUGUGUAUGCACAUAUGGCAG
Long non-coding RNA from Clupea harengus (Atlantic herring), 1217 nucleotides. The record is from Ensembl. Lineage: Eukaryota; Metazoa; Chordata; Actinopteri; Clupeiformes; Clupeidae.